AUGCUUACCUGGCAGAGAAUAUGCCAUGGUCACGAAGGUGGUUUUCCCAGGGCGAGGCUUAUCCAUUGCACUCUGCAUGUGCUGACCCCUGUGAUUUCCCUAAAUGUGGAAACUUGACUGCAUAAUUUGUGGCAGUGGGGAACUGCACUUGUGCUCUUCCCUU
This is a small nuclear RNA of Jaculus jaculus (lesser Egyptian jerboa), 163 nucleotides long. Its record names the gene U1. It matches the Rfam family "U1 spliceosomal RNA". Rfam says of the family: U1 is a small nuclear RNA (snRNA) component of the spliceosome (involved in pre-mRNA splicing). Its 5' end forms complementary base pairs with the 5' splice junction, thus defining the 5' donor site of an intron. The record is from Ensembl. Lineage: Eukaryota; Metazoa; Chordata; Mammalia; Rodentia; Dipodidae.